GAUGAACGCUGGCGGCGUGCCUAAUACAUGCAAGUCGAACGGAGUCCCGCCUUUAAGACCUCCGGGUUAUAGAGGGGAAGACUGAGUGGCGGACGGGUGAGUAACACGUGGGCAACCUGGCUCAUAUAGGGGGAUAAUAGAUAGAAAUUUCUGCUAAUAUCGCAUAAGCACACACUGCCGCAUGGCCGAGGGUGCAAAGAGAAUCGCUAUGAGAUGGACUCGCGUCUGAUUAGCCAGUUGGAAGGGUAAGCGCCUACCAAGGCGACGAUCAGUAGCCGAGCAGAGGAGAUAAGCGGCCACAUUGGGACUGAGGCACGGCCCAAACUCCUACCGGAAGCAGCGGAAGGGGAUAUUACACAAGGGGGGGGACCCUGAUGCGGCGACGCCGCGUGAGUGAAGAAUUAUUUGGGAAUGUAAAGCUCUAUCAACAGGUAAGAUAAUGACAGUACCUUAAUAAGAAAGCCCGGCUAACUACGUU
This 478-nucleotide ribosomal RNA is filed under the name uncultured bacterium. RNAcentral describes it as "partial 16S ribosomal RNA". It matches the Rfam family "Bacterial small subunit ribosomal RNA", at positions 28 to 507 of the family's 1533-position model. The record is from RNAcentral.